GGAGUUGUAGCUCAAUGCAGAGCACUUGCCUAGCAUGUACGAAGCACUGGGUUCGAUCCCCAGCACCA
This 68-nucleotide transfer RNA is filed under the name Ictidomys tridecemlineatus (thirteen-lined ground squirrel). Its description in RNAcentral is "Spermophilus tridecemlineatus (thirteen-lined ground squirrel) tRNA". It matches the Rfam family "tRNA". From Rfam's summary of the family: Transfer RNA (tRNA) molecules are approximately 80 nucleotides in length. Lineage: Eukaryota; Metazoa; Chordata; Mammalia; Rodentia; Sciuridae. The record is from Rfam by way of RNAcentral.